Molecule: transfer RNA, 64 nt
Filed under: Tracheloptychus madagascariensis
Lineage: Eukaryota; Metazoa; Chordata; Lepidosauria; Squamata; Gerrhosauridae
Description: partial tRNA-Gln
Source: RNAcentral
UAGUAUAAUUGGAAGUACAAAGGGUUUUGGGCCUUUUGGUGCAGGUUCGAGGCCUGUUUUUCUA